UUGGUGGCGACCGGCGCACGGGUGAGUAACGCGUAUCCAACCUGCCCUUUACUAUGGGACAGCCCGUCGAAAGGCGGAUUAAUACCGUAUGUUGUCAUGUUGAUGCAUAUUUUCAUGACCAAAGGCUUCGGCCGGUAAAGGAUGGGGAUGCGUCUGAUUAGCUUGCCGGCGGGGUAACGGCCCACCGGGGCGACGAUCAGUAGGGGUUCUGAGAGGAAGGUCCCCCACAUUGGAACUGAGACACGGUCCAAACUCCUACGGAAGGCAGCAG
Molecule: ribosomal RNA, 271 nt
Filed under: uncultured bacterium
Lineage: Bacteria
Description: partial 16S ribosomal RNA
Rfam family: Bacterial small subunit ribosomal RNA
Source: RNAcentral